UGGGGAAUAUUGGACAAUGGGGGCAACCCUGAUCCAGCCAUGCCGCGUGAGUGAAGAAGGCCUUCGGGUUGUAAAGCUCUUUUGGCGGGGACGAUGAUGACGGUACCCGCAGAAUAAGCCCCGGCUAACUUCGUGCCAGCAGCCGCGGUAAGACGAAGGGGGCUAGCGUUGUUCGGAAUUACUGGGCGUAAAGGGCGCGUAGGCGGUCUUGUUAGUCAGGCGUGAAAGCCCUGGGCUUAACCUGGGAGGUGCGCUUGAUACUGCAAGGCUUGAGUGCAGGAGAGGAUGGUGGAAUUCCCAGUGUAGAGGUGAAAUUCGUAGAUAUUGGGAAGAACACCGGUGGCGAAGGCGGCCAUCUGGACUGCAACUGACGCUGAGGCGCGAAAGCGUGGGGAGCAAACAGG
RNAcentral lists this ribosomal RNA (404 nucleotides) under uncultured bacterium. RNAcentral describes it as "bacterial SSU rRNA". It matches the Rfam family "Bacterial small subunit ribosomal RNA", at positions 355 to 776 of the family's 1533-position model. The record is from RNAcentral.